GUGCUCGCUUCAGCAGCACAUAUACUAAAACUGGAAUGGUACAGAGAAGAUUAGCAUGGCCCCUGUGCAAGUAUGACAUGCAAAUUCAUGAAGCAUUCCGUAUCUUU
Molecule: small nuclear RNA, 107 nt
Filed under: Balaenoptera musculus (blue whale)
Lineage: Eukaryota; Metazoa; Chordata; Mammalia; Artiodactyla; Balaenopteridae
Source: RNAcentral